UGCACAACCCUUUGCCCGUCUGCUGAAGGUGCCGGAGGUCCAUCCUAUAAGAGGUCAAGCUAAAGGAGCCCGAGAUAGCCAGUAUGAGGCAGUACAUCAGCACAAGCCUCCAUGUCUGGGUUGUCUUGCAACGACCGUCUGUCCACUUCACAGUGUGUAGCAACGCUUCGGCGUGCAGUCUGAUGGGGUUUAGAGGGGCGAUCUUGGGAGCAGCUGAAGAGAGAGGAGCCUUCUAGGUAUCCCGGAAGGUGACAGCCACAGUGUUGGACUCCGGUCAGGGCCUCGGUGAUGUUGACUUCGAGUACUCUCAUGACAACAGGAACCUCUGCACCAGCCCAGGUGCCCCUCCUGUGCAUUGAAGAUGGAUUCACAGCCCCGGCUCUCAGAAAGAUAAGUGCAGGGCAAAGACCC
Molecule: long non-coding RNA, 411 nt
Organism: Manacus vitellinus (golden-collared manakin)
Lineage: Eukaryota; Metazoa; Chordata; Aves; Passeriformes; Pipridae
Exons: 4
Source: RefSeq, a predicted model, not a curated record